CCUACGGGAGGCAGCAGUGGGGAAUAUUGGACAAUGGGCGAAAGCCUGAUCCAGCCAUGCCGCGUGUGUGAAGAAGGUCUUCGGAUUGUAAAGCACUUUAAGUUGGGAGGAAGGGCAGUUACCUAAUACGUGAUUGUUUUGACGUUACCGACAGAAUAAGCACCGGCUAACUCUGUGCCAG
RNAcentral lists this ribosomal RNA (181 nucleotides) under uncultured Pseudomonas sp. RNAcentral describes it as "partial 16S ribosomal RNA". It matches the Rfam family "Bacterial small subunit ribosomal RNA", at positions 338 to 511 of the family's 1533-position model. Lineage: Bacteria; Pseudomonadati; Pseudomonadota; Gammaproteobacteria; Pseudomonadales; Pseudomonadaceae. The record is from RNAcentral.